Molecule: ribosomal RNA, 406 nt
Filed under: uncultured bacterium
Lineage: Bacteria
Description: partial 16S ribosomal RNA
Rfam family: Bacterial small subunit ribosomal RNA
Source: RNAcentral
AUUGAACGCUGGCGGCAGGCCUAACACAUGCAAGUCGAACGAGUGGCGGACGGGUGAGUACUGUCUGGGAAACUGCCCGAUGGAGGGGGAUAACUACUGGAAACGGUAGCUAAUCCCGCAUACCAUCGGAUGUGCCCAGAUGGGAUUAGCUUGUAGGUGAGGUCACGGCUCACCUAGGCGACGAUCCCUAGCUGGUCUGAGAGGAUGACCAGCCACAUUGGAACUUGGACACGGUCCAGACUCCUACGGGAGGCAGCAGUGGGGAAUAUUGCACAAUGGGCGCAAGUCUGAUGCAGCCAGGCCGCGUGUAUGAAGAAGGCCUGUGGGUUGUAAAUUACUUUCAGCGGGGAGGCGUUACCCGCAGAAGAAGCACCGGCGAACUCCGUGCCAGCCGCCGCGGUAAUUC